AAAGUUUUACCCAGAGCGAUCAAGUGAUUUGUUAGAUGGACGAAUCUCUUUUGUAAGGCAACUAUAGAUUCACCGGGCUGCAUGCGGAACAUCUCAUAUUCUUGGCUUAGGGUGUUUAGCCUUGAUCUCUUUACUUCGGUGGUUCCUUCAUGUGUUUCAACCAAGGUGUCCCAAAUCUCCUUUGCCGAUUUACAUUGAGAUAUACGGAAGAACUCGUCCAUACUGAGAGCGCUUUGGAGUAUGUUGAUUGCCUUCUU
Molecule: long non-coding RNA, 257 nt
Filed under: Lathyrus oleraceus (garden pea)
Lineage: Eukaryota; Viridiplantae; Streptophyta; Magnoliopsida; Fabales; Fabaceae
Description: Pisum sativum (pea) long non-coding RNA (PSAT_LNC011603)
Source: RNAcentral